Molecule: transfer RNA, 72 nt
Organism: Toxocara canis (dog roundworm)
Lineage: Eukaryota; Metazoa; Nematoda; Chromadorea; Rhabditida; Toxocaridae
Rfam family: tRNA
About the family: Transfer RNA (tRNA) molecules are approximately 80 nucleotides in length.
Source: Rfam
CGGGCAGUAGCUCAGCGGUAGAGCUCCCUCUGCGUAUGAGGGAAGACCUGGGUUCGAUUCCCCGCUGCUUAC